UACGUAGGGCGCAAGCGUUGUCCGGAAUUAUUGGGCGUAAAGAGCUCGUAGGUGGUUUGUUACGUCUGCUGUGAAAACCUAGGGCUUAACCCUGGGCCUGCAGUGGAUACGGGCAGACUAGAGGUAGGUAGGGGAGAAUGGAAUUCCCGGUGUAGCGGUGAAUGCGCAGAUAUCGGGAGGAACACCGGUGGCGAAGGCGGUUCUCUGGGCCUUACCUGACACUGAGGAGCGAAAGCGUGGGGAGCGAACAGG
RNAcentral lists this ribosomal RNA (252 nucleotides) under uncultured bacterium. RNAcentral describes it as "partial 16S ribosomal RNA". It matches the Rfam family "Bacterial small subunit ribosomal RNA", at positions 524 to 776 of the family's 1533-position model. The record is from RNAcentral.